UACAGAGGUCCCGAGCGUUGUUCGGAUUCACUGGGCGUAAAGGGUGCGUAGGCGGUCGGGUAAGUCUGAUGUGAAAUCUCACAGCUUAACUGUGAAACUGCAUUGGAUACUAUUCGGCUUGAGAGUUGGAGGGGGGACUGGAAUUCUCGGUGUAGCAGUGAAAUGCGUAGAUAUCGAGAGGAACACCAGUGGCGAAGGCGAGUCCCUGGACAACUCCUGACACUGAGGCACGAAAGCUAGGGGAGCAAACAGG
RNAcentral lists this ribosomal RNA (253 nucleotides) under uncultured bacterium. Its description in RNAcentral is "partial 16S ribosomal RNA". It matches the Rfam family "Bacterial small subunit ribosomal RNA", at positions 524 to 776 of the family's 1533-position model. The record is from RNAcentral.